UCCGGAUCUGCCCCGGCUUGCUUGUGAAGGGUCAGGAGGUCUUUCUGCUCCUGCCUUCGCUGGAGGCGAUGUCAGCGAAGCUCUUGCGGGUAUGAAUGGGACUGAUCAUGUUCCUGGUGUCACACACUGCCCGUGAUGGGCGGCAGAGCCAGUUUUUCUGCUCUGAAAGCGGGGCUGGGGAGGGGACCGCAACACUCAAAUACCCAGAUCCCUGGUAGCUGCCAGCCAGGCAUCGAGGAGGCCACUUGCCUUUUCCAGCUCCAGCUGUGACGGUCUUGUGCACCAGGCCUCUUUGGCUUCUCUGAAAUGUCAGCAAUCCUGAAAUGGUUUGGACGGGAAGAUAAGGAGAAAGAGGACAAGGAAAAGGACAAGGAAAAAGAGAAGGAAGAAGAGAAGAAAAAGACUGAGGAAGAAAAACAGAAGGAGGAGGAGAAGACUAAGGAAGAAAAACAGAAGGAGAAGGAGAAGGAAAAGACUGAGGAAGACAAGGAGAAGGAGAAGACUGAGGAAGAAAAACAGAAGGAGAAGAAGGAAGAACAACACAAGGUGAAGGAGAAGGAGGAGAAGGAGAAGGAGAAGGAAAAGACUGAGGAAGACAAACAGAAGGAGAAGGAAGAAAAACAGAAGGAGAAGGAGCAGGAGAAGGAGCAGGAGAAGGAGAAGGAAAAGACUAAGGAAGAAAAACAGAAGGAGCAGGAGAAGGAGCAGGAGAAGGAGAAGGAAAAGACUAAGGAAGAAAAACAUAAGGAGAAGGAGCAGGAGAAGAAGCAGGAAAAGACUAAGGAAGAAAAACAUAAGGAGAAGGAGCAGGAGAAGAAGAAGGAGCAGGAGAAGGAGAAGGAAAAGACUAAGGAAGAAAAACAGAAGGAGCAGGAGAAGGAGAAGGAGAAGGANAGAAGAAGAAGAAGAAGGGAGAGAAAAAGGUAGGGAAAUGAUGGAGUUUUCUGCAGAUCAGCUGCUGAACCAUUUGCCAGAGGGUUUCCAGCCCCGAUGGCCCCAGCACAGUGCUCAAGGUGAGCCCAGCACCUCCCAAACCAUCUGAUGCCAGGGGCCAUGCGGGGCUCCCCUUGGACUAACUGUGCCACUGGCUGUGGGGCACCCUGAGCACCCUGCCCAGCAUGCAGU
This 1125-nucleotide long non-coding RNA is filed under the name Calidris pygmaea (Spoon-billed sandpiper). Its description in RNAcentral is "lncRNA (ENSCPGG00000015922.1)". Lineage: Eukaryota; Metazoa; Chordata; Aves; Charadriiformes; Scolopacidae. The record is from RNAcentral.